RNAcentral lists this ribosomal RNA (253 nucleotides) under uncultured bacterium. RNAcentral's name for it is "partial 16S ribosomal RNA". It matches the Rfam family "Bacterial small subunit ribosomal RNA", at positions 524 to 776 of the family's 1533-position model. The record is from RNAcentral.
GACAGAGGGUGCAAACGUUGUUCGGAAUUACUGGGCGUAAAGCGCGUGUAGGCGGCAUGGCAAGUCGGGUGUGAAAGCCCUGGGCUCAACCUAGGAAGUGCACUCGAAACUGCCACGCUUGAGUCUUGGAGAGGAAGGCGGAAUUCUCGGUGUAGAGGUGAAAUUCGUAGAUAUCGGGAGGAACACCGGUGGCGAAGGCGGCCUUCUGGACAAUGACUGACGCUGAGACGCGAAAGCGUGGGGAGCAAACAGG